This 400-nucleotide ribosomal RNA is filed under the name uncultured bacterium. Its description in RNAcentral is "bacterial SSU rRNA". It matches the Rfam family "Bacterial small subunit ribosomal RNA", at positions 356 to 773 of the family's 1533-position model. The record is from RNAcentral.
GGGGAAUAUUGCACAAUGGGCGAAAGCCUGAUGCAGCAACGCCGCGUGAGUGAAGAAGGUUUUCGGAUUGUAAAGCUCUGUCAUCUGGGACGAUAAUGACGGUACCUAACGAGAAAGCCACGGCUAACUACGUGCCAGCAGCCGCGGUAAUACGUAGGUGGCAAGCGUUGUCCGGAAUUACUGGGCGUAAAGGGUGCGCAGGCGGACAUUUAAGUGAGAUGUGAAAGACCCGGGCUUAACUUGGGAAGUGCAUUUCAAACUGGAUGGCUGGAGUGCAGGAGAGGAGAACGGAAUUCCUAGUGUAGCGGUGAAAUGCGUAGAGAUUAGGAAGAACACCAGUGGCGAAGGCGGUUCUCUGGACUGUAACUGACGCUGAGGCACGAAAGCGUGGGGAGCAAAC